GGCGUGCCUAACACAUGCAAGUCGAACGGUAACAGGGACUUCGGUCCGCUGACGAGUGGCGCACGGGUGAGUAACGCGUGGAGUUACCUACCCAUCAGUGAGGAACAACCUGGAGAAAUCCAGGCUAAUACCGCAUACGACCUUCGGGUGAAAGAGGGGGAUCUUCGGACCUCUCGCUGAUGGAUGGUUCCGCGUCCGAUUAGUUAGUUGGUAAGGUAAUGGCUUACCAAGACGAUGAUCGGUAGCUGGUUUGAGAGGAUGAUCAGCCACACUGGAACUGAGACACGGUCCAGACUCCUACGGGAGGCAGCAGUGGGGAAUUUUGCACAAUGGGCGCAAGCCUGAUGCAGCGACGCCGCGUGCGGGAAGAAGGCCUUCGGGUUGUAAACCGCUUUCAACAGGGAAGAAGGAAUGAGGGUCAAUACCCCUCUGCCUUGACGGUACCUGUAGAAGAAGCCCCGGCUAAUUUCGUGCCAGCAGCCGCGGUAAUACGAAAGGGGCAAGCGUUGUUCGGAUUUACUGGGCGUAAAGAGAUCGUAGGUGGCUUGUUAAGUCGGAUGUGAAAUCCCGGGGCUCAACCCCGGAACUGCAUUCGAUACUGGCAGGCUUGAGUUCGGGAGGGGGAAGCGGAAUUCCGUGUGUAGCAGUGAAAUGCGUAGAUAUACGGAGGAACACCUGAGGCGAAGGCGGCUUCCUGGACCGAUACUGACACUGAGGAUCGAAAGCGUGGGUAGCAAACAGGAUUAGAUACCCUGGUAGUCCACGCCCUAAACGAUGUCUACUAGCCGUUGCGGGUAUCGACCCCUGCAGUGGCGCAGCUAACGCGAUAAGUAGACCGCCUGGGGAGUACG
RNAcentral lists this ribosomal RNA (851 nucleotides) under uncultured Zetaproteobacteria bacterium. RNAcentral's name for it is "bacterial SSU rRNA". It matches the Rfam family "Bacterial small subunit ribosomal RNA", at positions 41 to 884 of the family's 1533-position model. The record is from RNAcentral. Lineage: Bacteria; Pseudomonadati; Pseudomonadota; Candidatius Mariprofundia.